This 797-nucleotide ribosomal RNA is filed under the name Microbacterium sp. Its description in RNAcentral is "bacterial SSU rRNA". It matches the Rfam family "Bacterial small subunit ribosomal RNA", at positions 21 to 831 of the family's 1533-position model. The record is from RNAcentral. Lineage: Bacteria; Bacillati; Actinomycetota; Actinomycetes; Micrococcales; Microbacteriaceae.
GGCUCAGGAUGAACGCUGGCGGCGUGCUUAACACAUGCAAGUCGAACGAUGAACUCCAGCUUGCUGGGGGGAUUAGUGGCGAACGGGUGAGUAACACGUGAGCAACCUGCCCUGGACUCUGGGAUAAGCGCUGGAAACGGCGUCUAAUACUGGAUAUGAGCCUCUAUCGCAUGGUGGGGGUUGGAAAGAUUUUUUGGUCUGGGAUGGGCUCGCGGCCUAUCAGCUUGUUGGUGAGGUAAUGGCUCACCAAGGCGUCGACGGGUAGCCGGCCUGAGAGGGUGACCGGCCACACUGGGACUGAGACACGGCCCAGACUCCUACGGGAGGCAGCAGUGGGGAAUAUUGCACAAUGGGCGGAAGCCUGAUGCAGCAACGCCGCGUGAGGGAUGACGGCCUUCGGGUUGUAAACCUCUUUUAGCAAGGAAGAAGCGAGAGUGACGGUACUUGCAGAAAAAGCGCCGGCUAACUACGUGCCAGCAGCCGCGGUAAUACGUAGGGCGCAAGCGUUAUCCGGAAUUAUUGGGCGUAAAGAGCUCGUAGGCGGUUUGUCGCGUCUGCUGUGAAAUCCCGAGGCUCAACCUCGGGCCUGCAGUGGGUACGGGCAGACUAGAGUGCGGUAGGGGAGAUUGGAAUUCCUGGUGUAGCGGUGGAAUGCGCAGAUAUCAGGAGGAACACCGAUGGCGAAGGCAGAUCUCUGGGCCGUAACUGACGCUGAGGAGCGAAAGGGUGGGGAGCAAACAGGCUUAGAUACCCUGGUAGUCCACCCCGUAAACGUUGGGAACUAGUUGUGGGGUCCU